GGGGGAAGUGUUUAGUACGUAGGCGCCAUGGUUGGCGAAGCGUGCAUGCUGCUGGUGCGGGAUAGUAGUAUCUAUGAAGAUUCCCACCUCC
Molecule: non-coding RNA, 91 nt
Organism: Glossina brevipalpis
Lineage: Eukaryota; Metazoa; Arthropoda; Insecta; Diptera; Glossinidae
Source: Rfam